Molecule: long non-coding RNA, 1319 nt
Filed under: Capsicum annuum
Lineage: Eukaryota; Viridiplantae; Streptophyta; Magnoliopsida; Solanales; Solanaceae
Description: long non-coding RNA (CANN_LNC014532)
Source: RNAcentral
CAAAAGCAGUCAACACUUACUUUUCUCAAAGCAAAUUCAUUCUAACGGGUUCUUUUAUCUCACACUCAACAUUCUCUCUCUCUUUACCAACAAUUAAACUAGCAAGGAUCAAGAUAAUUCUUUUGAACUUGUGAUUCACUUUUCUCUCUUAAAUCAAGUUAAAGGUAUGCUCUUUCUUGGUUUCAUUUUUGAGCUCUCUUAAGAAUGGACAUAAUACCUUAUACCUCAUGAUGAUUGGUCAUUGAAAUUUGAUUUAUGUGAGUUUGUUGGGAUGAUUUUUUACUUGUUGGAAUAAUUAUGUUGUCAUUGGUGCCUUGUUUCACUAGUUUAAUUCAUGAUACUCUCUUAAAUGAAGCUAGUGCACCAUGCGUUUGACAAAAUAUCCAUUGAAUCUUUCUUUCUUAUUUUGUGUGGUGGGUGGCUCAAGUAUGAUAAUAUGAGCAUCUUUAAUGCGUUUGGAGAUGAUUUGGUGAUAUGACCUUGUUCUCUUGUGCUUCUAUUGUCUUUCUCCAAGUUUCUAGUUAGCAUGCCCACCAUAUGUUUGUUGAAAUGACAAUAAGAGAGAAAUGUCUUGUAUGCUUGUAAUGGUCAAUAUGAUUCUGCUUAGGUAAUAAUGUGAUCAUUUUUUAAGCAUCAUUUUGAGUCCAAUUCAUCCUAAAAUGAAAUAUUCGAUAGUCAUUGGUUGAAGGAGUUUGUUGAGAAAUAUGGCAUCCAUGGUUCUUGUUGAUCACUACACCUAACCGGGAGACAUGCAUGCUUGCCUUACCCAAUGAUAGAUUAAGGGUAUUGGUCAUUCUUAUUUUCAUUGGAGGUUUUCGAUAUCCUAUGAACUAGUUUUGUGAAAUGUGAAGAAUAUGAGAUAAUUUAGCGCCCAAAUGAUUAAGUGCUGUAAUGAAUACAUCCCAUGGGCUCUAAUGAUGAAAUUACCUUGCAUCCAUCAAACAAAUAUUUUCUUUUCUUAUCUUUAAUUUUCUUUCUUAACAUACAAAAUUUCAGAAACAUGUUUUACCUUUUCUCUUUUGUUUUGAUUUUAUUUUGUUUCUUUCAGAUAGGUAUGUCUCCAAGGAAGAACUUGCCACGAGAAGCUAGACAGGGUAAUCACUACAAAAAAUGGGUCAAAUUACGAGGGUUAAUUUUAAAACCCUCGCAAAAUGUAAUUCCGACAGUUCCCAAAACUCCCACAAUUCAAGCCGUCACAAACAAGUUGUGGCGGUUUUUUUCGACCCCCAUAAUUAAUUUGCGGCAGUUAUUUUGUAGCAGUUGACCCCCGUUACUCUAAAUUUAAUUAUUUUUAUUUAAAAGUUGUGGUGGUUUAAAAC